UGAGUAAUGUCUGGGAAACUGCCCGAUGGAGGGGGAUAACUACUGGAAACGGUAGCUAAUACCGCAUAACGUCUUCGGACCAAAGUGGGGGACCUUCGGGCCUCACACCAUCGGAUGUGCCCAGAUGGGAUUAGCUAGUAGGUGGGGUAAUGGCUCACCUAGGCGACGAUCCCUAGCUGGUCUGAGAGGAUGACCAGCCACACUGGAACUGAGACACGGUCCAGACUCCUACGGGAGGCAGCAGUGGGGAAUAUUGCACAAUGGGCGCAAGCCUGAUGCAGCCAUGCCGCGUGUAUGAAGAAGGCCUUCGGGUUGUAAAGUACUUUCAGUGGGGAGGAAGGCGUUAAGGUUAAUAACCUUGACGAUUGACGUUACCCGCAGAAGAAGCACCGGCUAACUCCGUGCCAGCAGCCGCGGUAAUACGGAGGGUGCAAGCGUUAAUCGGAACUACUGGGCGUAAAGCGCACGCAGGCGGUCUGUCAAGUCAGAUGUGAAAUCCCCGGG
RNAcentral lists this ribosomal RNA (504 nucleotides) under uncultured bacterium. RNAcentral describes it as "bacterial SSU rRNA". It matches the Rfam family "Bacterial small subunit ribosomal RNA", at positions 107 to 607 of the family's 1533-position model. The record is from RNAcentral.